UCGCUAGUAAUCGCGGAUCAGCAUGCCGCGGUGAAUACGUUCCCGGGCCUUGUACACACCGCCCGUCACACCACGAGAGUUGGUAACACCCGAAGUCGGUGAGGUAACCUUUUGGAGCCAGCCGCCGAAGGUGGGACCAAUGAUUGGGGUGAAGUCGUAACAAGGUAGCCGUGUCGGAAGGUGCGGCUGGAUCACCUCCUU
Molecule: ribosomal RNA, 201 nt
Filed under: Bacillus sp. 2-9-3
Lineage: Bacteria; Bacillati; Bacillota; Bacilli; Caryophanales; Bacillaceae
Description: partial 16S ribosomal RNA
Rfam family: Bacterial small subunit ribosomal RNA
Source: RNAcentral